UACGUAGGGGGCAAGCGUUAUCCGGAUUUACUGGGUGUAAAGGGAGCGCAGACGGCAGUGCAAGUCUGGAGUGAAAGCCCGGGGCCCAACCCCGGAACUGCUCUGGAAACUGUGCGGCUAGAGUACUGGAGGGGCAGGCGGAAUUCCUAGUGUAGCGGUGAAAUGCGUAGAUAUUAGGAGGAACACCAGUGGCGAAGGCGGCCUGCUGGACAGUAACUGACGUUGAGGCUCGAAAGCGUGGGGAGCGAACAGG
RNAcentral lists this ribosomal RNA (253 nucleotides) under uncultured bacterium. RNAcentral's name for it is "partial 16S ribosomal RNA". It matches the Rfam family "Bacterial small subunit ribosomal RNA", at positions 524 to 776 of the family's 1533-position model. The record is from RNAcentral.